UCAGCCCAUGCGAGUUUCCUCACCUUUCGGCCGAAAUCUCCUUCAUCAUC
Molecule: small nuclear RNA, 50 nt
Filed under: Pyrococcus abyssi GE5
Lineage: Archaea; Methanobacteriati; Methanobacteriota; Thermococci; Thermococcales; Thermococcaceae
Source: RNAcentral